RNAcentral lists this ribosomal RNA (253 nucleotides) under uncultured bacterium. RNAcentral's name for it is "partial 16S ribosomal RNA". It matches the Rfam family "Bacterial small subunit ribosomal RNA", at positions 524 to 776 of the family's 1533-position model. The record is from RNAcentral.
UACGGGGGGGGCAAGCGUUGUUCGGAAUUACUGGGCGUAAAGGGCUCGUAGGCGGCCAACUAAGUCAGACGUGAAAUCCCUCGGCUUAACCGGGGAACUGCGUCUGAUACUGGAUGGCUGGAGUUUGGGAGAGGGAUGCGGAAUUCCAGGUGUAGCGGUGAAAUGCGUAGAUAUCAGGGAGAACACCCGUGGCGAAAGCGGCUCUCUGGAACGGUACUGACGCUGAGACGCGAAAGCGUGGGGAGCGAACAGG